RNAcentral lists this ribosomal RNA (497 nucleotides) under uncultured bacterium. Its description in RNAcentral is "partial 16S ribosomal RNA". It matches the Rfam family "Bacterial small subunit ribosomal RNA", at positions 28 to 507 of the family's 1533-position model. The record is from RNAcentral.
GACGAACGCUGGCGGCGUGCCUAAUACAUGCAAGUUGAGCGAUGAAGCUUGGUGCUUGCACCAAUUUGAAGAGCAGCGAACGGGUGAGUAACGCGUGGGGAAUCUGCCUUUGAGCGGGGGACAACAUUUGGAAACGAAUGCUAAUACCGCAUAAUAACUUUAAACAUAAGUUUUAAGUUUGAAAGAUGCAAUUGCAUCACUCAAAGAUGAUCCCGCGUUGUAUUAGCUAGUUGGUGAGGUAAAGGCUCACCAAGGCGAUGAUACAUAGCCGACCUGAGAGGGUGAUCGGCCACAUUGGGACUGAGACACGGCCCAAACUCCUACGGGAGGCAGCAGUAGGGAAUCUUCGGCAAUAGACGAAAGUCUGACCGAGCAACGCCGCGUGAGUGAAGAAGGUUUUCGGAUCGUAAAACUCUGUUGGUAGAGAAGAACGUUGGUGAGAGUGGAAAGCUCAUCAAGUGACGGUAACUACCCAGAAAGGGACGGCUAACUACGUG